AAUUCUUAUUCUAUUGUAUAAUACGGUGAGGAGCUGGAGCCGUGUAAGGAAGAAAAUAGUAAAAAGAAAAAAGAAAGGAGAGCUCACACUUUGCUUUACACGCAAUGGAUGACCUACGCUUUUCAACUUUCUAUUUCAGUUUCUUCCUGCCGGUGCCGCCACAAAACCAUCUCCUCCGAUUUUCUUUCCGAGUUAUGCUGAAAUUUCGGACCGAAAAGCAAGCUAUGUUUAGUGCUGAAAUGGGUCCACCCGAAUUUCAUAUUUAAGGUCGGUGAAAAGUUUCUUCGCUUUGAUUAUUUUAAGAAUUAUUAUUGAUCAGUCAAUGAGGAGUGUAAACGCUUCUUGGAUUAACAAACCUAUCCCUAUCUUGAGGUUUUGAUUAGCCUUAAAUCACAUGCAAAAACACAAAAGUUUCUUUUUCUAGUUAAUGCGUUUGUGUUUUUGUUUGUGGGCAAGGCUGUGCACAAACUCAACCAAAUAUUGCACGCCAUGUGUUUGAUAAAAGGUCUAAGAAUCUAGAAAUGACCAAAUUCUACGGGAUUUCCUAUUUCUUCUAUCUCUGUAUUGGAUCAUCAGGAUAUCUUUAUUUUAAAUUCUUCUCUAGAUUUUUCUUAGAAACAAUAUUUUAUUUUCAUCGAACACCUAAAAAGGCUUAAAAAACUCAUAUCUAUUCUCGAUAAUGCACUCCACCUGUUUGAUAAAAGUCCCCAACCAAAGCACUUGCAAGGGAUGGGAUGAGUCAACCCCAUCAAGUGCCCUCUUUCAAUUGCAUUUAGCAUCAUCAGCCUAAAAAAAUUGUCUCCAUUCGGGGUAUUGGGUUUUUACGUGUCAAUUUCUUAGAAUCUCCCCCACCCCACGUUUUGCCAUUGUCACUCCCUUUGGGAGCCCCUCGGAAAUUGCUUACCAAUUUCUGUUAAUUAGUAUAGAAAGCCCCGUAAGGUCGGGAGUGUAGUGGGAGGGUUCGUUCAUGCACUACUAGUCCUUUCAAAUUCUUUAAAUGAUAUUUUAGAAUAUCCUCUUCCUCCAUUGAGGACAAAUGGCUCCCAAUCUGUCAAAUUCUAAUUGCUUUAUUUAUUGGUUUCUUUCUUCUUCUUCUUCUCUUUUGUUUUUUCUUUUGCUUGGUUCACACCCCUGUGUGAGUUUUUGGUUUGUUUCGAUUGUGAUGAUGUUCACACUCGAGAAGAGUGUUGACGAUAAGAACUCUGAGAAGAUUCAAAUUAAAUCAAAAUUUUCCUUUGGUACUUCUUGUUCGAUUUUUCUUUAAUAUGAUCUAACCAUUGAUUUCAAUAUGUUAAAUUGAUGACUUAUAGGUUGAAGUCUAUGUUUGGUGAUUAUUUAAAAAUUAUUUGACAAUAAAAUUGUCUCUAGUGGUUGAAAUUUAGGCAUGUUAUACCCUCAAUUCCAUAUAUCAUUUUAAAUUAUUAAUUCAAUUGAAAAGCUUAAACCUAUAAGCGAACCAAAUUUAAUAUAAUACAUAGUAUUUUAAACCACUUUUAGAUUAGUCUUAUAAAAUAAUCGUGAGUAGAACAACUCAGACAUUUAUCAUCGAACUAUUAACUUUUGAAAUGAUAUGUAUUGACCUAAACCUUAGCUCAAAACGAUGAUCUAAAAGCCUCUAUCAUCAUGUUGAAUUUAAUCCCAAGAAGAGGUUUGUGCACUUUGCAUUGAAAUAGACAUUGAAGAGUGAAAAGAAAUGUUGGUUCCAUCCAUAUUCCAUAUACUCUGUUCAGUGCUUGAAAUGAUAUGAAUAAAAUAGGUCCCAUUUUAGCUCAAUCUUGUCUCCCAUUCUUUACCAAACACAAUAAAAGUUUCGAAGUUAAUCCAAACCUUUUGGUUUCAUCAUGUCACCACUUUAAGGCCUAUUUCUUCCUACACAUAAUUGGUGAUAAAACCUCUCUUUUUCGCUAGUGGGAAAACGGAAUUCAUGAAAAACGUGCACGUCAUCCUUGUCUUUUAAUACUCAAUUCAGUUUCUUUUUACUCCUAUUUCUAUGUUUAAAGUCAAACUAAGUCAAGUGGAUAAAUAUUUAUUAUCAUUGUUGAGUUACGAGAAAAAAUUUAGUACUACAGUUGUAUAGGAAUUUUUAGGUUCCCUUUUAGCGGAUUUCUUCCUUAAAAAAAUACAACUUUUUUCUGCUAUCAAUUAAAAUAUUUAUUUUUGUAGUGCAGAAUUGAACGAUUCAUUGAAUGUUUUUUUUUUUUUUUGACAAAAUUGCUUUUGAAUUUUGGAAUUAAUGAAUGUUCUUGUUGAUGCUAUUUCUAAGGUGGUAUGGUUUCCAUGGCUUCUAGUAUAUAUGGGAGUUAACCCCAAAACUCUACCACUCUUUUUUUAUUGUUGUGGCAGUAAUGAUGCUAUUCGAACUAGUCAUAUUGAUGUUCUUCAUGAAUGGACAAAGCACACAUUCAUUGCCACUUUUAUCUGCCACCAUUUCUAAAAUUCUACUCUCUGUCUUCAAUCCACAUUCACUACAUACAACCAAAAAAUAUUCUCACUAAGGCGUUCACUUCUGCUUGCUUCAAUUAGUUGUGUUGCAAACUCAAACUGACCUCUACUUUACCACUUUACCACCUUGAGUUUGAGAGGAUGUUAAUAUUGUUAGUAUCUUUUGUCUAUAUUUAAGUAGUCUUAUGUAUAUAAUACACCCUGUAAUUUACUAAGUAAUGAAGAAAUCCAUAAUACAACAAGAAAAUCCAUCCAACCCUUUCCUUUAAUAUAAGUUACUUUAAAACAACUUUUGCUUUGAUUAAUAAUACAUUUAAAAUUAUAAACUUAAAAAUAAAAUGAUUAGUUUUUCAGUUAAAAGUAAAUUUAACUUAACGACGAUAAGAUUCCUACUUAAAGGUCUGAAGUUUAAUUUCCUACUGAUGUACGGUAGAAAAGAUCUAUUUGAAAUAAAGUGUUUGAGACAGUGAAUUGAUUAUUUUCGUUUGAGUCCUAAAAUGUGUUUAGGAUGCCCAUUAUCACUUAUUUUUUAAUUUGGGUUAAUGAAUGGGUACAACAUGUAAAACACUAAAGACGAUAAAAGUUUUCAAAUUAUUUAUUAGUUUAUCGUAGUUAGGUGUGAAUUUAAUCGGUAAAAAUAUCAAAUAAUUAUAACUGAAGGCCGGCAUGGGCACUCCAGCCCAUCCAAGUUGGGCCCAAGCGCCCCCGUCUAGAAACGAGGCAUGUGAAAAUUCGCUAUGGGCUGAAAAACCUUAUGUUUCAAAUUUGGGCCUUGAAGAUCCAUUUCCCAUUUGUAAAUUCGGGCGGAAAUCCCCGGCGACGGCACCAAGUCGCUCCCCCCCAUGCUUGCCGUUCAUUUCUCGGUGCCACUUCUCCAACUCACAGAACUGAGCGUUUUAGUAACUCAAACAAUUCUUAGUUUCAAGCAGAAUUUCGAACAAGAGCUGUCCAGCGUCGUUCAAUUUGGAAACUAGUAAGGUGUAGAUGGCUCCAUCUCCAUCCUGCUGUAAGAGCCUCUACUCGUUGGGAGUGGAUCUCGUUGAGAUCUUCAAUACUUUGACUUUUUGGCCAGAGAACGUAAGCUGUAGAAGAAUCUCAAAUAAAUUUUCUCAUCAAAAUCACAGAUUUUACGUUGAUAAUCUUGAAAUGGAGGUAUCAAGGUUUGUAAAUGCCUUAUAUGCUGUUAAUGUCGUAUGGUUGAUACUAUUCUCUCAUCAUACUGUAUGGUUGACACUAUUCUCUCAUCAUACUGUAUGGUUGAUAUCAAUGGUAUGCUUUGCUUACUUUGCCAGCUAGUAUCUAUCUAUCUAUAUAUAUAUGUGCACAUUAUAUAUUAUUUGAUUAUUGUAAACUUAAAUUUCUGCACUAAUUUGUAUUCUAAGACCUGAUAUUUUAGAAGUAGCACAAUUUUUGUACUAGAAAUCCAGAUAGGUAAAGCUGAAAAAGGAAAAAGAAAAGAUCUCACCGCUAUGGUCUGUUGAACCA
Molecule: long non-coding RNA, 3927 nt
Organism: Cucumis sativus (cucumber)
Lineage: Eukaryota; Viridiplantae; Streptophyta; Magnoliopsida; Cucurbitales; Cucurbitaceae
Exons: 2
Source: RefSeq, a predicted model, not a curated record